Apodemus sylvaticus (European woodmouse) is the source of this 1139-nucleotide long non-coding RNA. RefSeq lists it as uncharacterized. Lineage: Eukaryota; Metazoa; Chordata; Mammalia; Rodentia; Muridae. The transcript has 2 exons. The record is from RefSeq and is a predicted model, not a curated record.
CGGCGCGCGUGCGCAGUGCCUCCCAGCCCAGGCUGUUCCUGAAAUGUACGCGUGUUGAGACACAGGGAGGAAAGCUGGACGUCCAUCCUACAGGAGGGCUGUGGCGAAGACGCUUUGGCCCAGUGGGGAAGGACGCGGACUGGCACGUAGUGGCACAGCCGUUCAAACCCCGGACGAACCUGGGGUACAGACAGACGGGGAUGCUGGAGAGUGCGCCCCACACGGAAGCCGCAGCCCCUGCUCCGCGCUAUGCAAAUUAUCUGUAGGGAGAUCCGCGCUUCCAGUUCUGCACUUCCGCCCGCGCUUCUAAAGGCCGGACUUCUAGCUCUCCGAUCCUUAGAAAAACCCAGUCAGAAUUUUAACAACAACAACAACAACAACAAACACACACACACACACACAUCCCGCAAAACAACAACAAAAUCCCCGCUUCUGCGCUCUCUAGUGUUUCAUUUUCCCUAAAUGCGUUUCUGCAGUCAAUAAUUUGACUCAGCAAUUCAGCUUCAGAUCAUUAUCCUACUGGACAUCCAUCUGUGCCUCGAGGCUGCUUCAAGGAGCCUCUUGACUAUAUAUAUUGUGUAUUAUAAUGCAGUGACAACUGGCCCCGUAACGAUGGCUGGUGUAUAAGUUUCUCAAACUCUACAAGAGUUUAAGAAAUAACCUGUGUGCGAGGCACAGAAGUUCUUUUGCUCUCAGAUAAGCACUAAGAACACCAGGAAUGUUAAAUACCCAGGGAUGUCUGUUCAGUGAGAGAGACGUAUGACUUGUCUUCUGCCCAGAAGGCUGAGAGUGGAUGUGGUUAAUAGCCUGUGACCUGAGACUGAUAGACUGAGACCUCACCAGUUCCUCUCUGGACCCUUAUGGUUGAGCAUGUUUUUCUCAGUCUAUGGAAACUGCCGUUCUGAAGAUGUCACAUGUACUUUACAAAGAGUUUCAGUGCAGUCAUGUUUUAAGCUUUGCUAUGCACAGGCGAUUGGGUUAAUUAUCACCAGGAAAGUUUUCACCAAAUAAACUACUUAGGGUCAGACUCGAAAGUUUGAACCACCACUGGCUACUUAAUUGUGUUGACUUGCACAACCUUCUUGUUUUCUACAGAUCAUCACUCUGCUGACCUUAGUGACCACAGAGACACUCCCCCA